GCCAGGUGUGGUGGCACACACCUGUAAUCCUAGCUACUCAGGAGGCUGAGGCAGGAGAAUCGCUUGAACCUGGGAGGAGGCAGAGGUUGCAAUGAGCUGAGAUGGUGCCACUGUACUCCAUCCUGGGCGACAGAGUGAGACUCUGCCUCCAAAAAAAAAAAAAAAAAAGAAGCAGGAAUGGGGCACCGGCCCACAGGUGGCAGCACCAAGUAGUCUUGUUUAUAUUGCUUCUUUUUUUUUUUUUUUUUUUGAGAAGGAGUCUUGCUCUGCAAUGGCACAAUCUCGGCUCACGGCAACCUCUGCCUCCCAAGUUCCAGCGAUUCUCCUGCCUCA
RNAcentral lists this signal recognition particle RNA (333 nucleotides) under Pongo abelii (Sumatran orangutan). It matches the Rfam family "Metazoan signal recognition particle RNA". From Rfam's summary of the family: The signal recognition particle (SRP) is a universally conserved ribonucleoprotein. The record is from RNAcentral. Lineage: Eukaryota; Metazoa; Chordata; Mammalia; Primates; Hominidae.